AACGAACGCUGGCGGCAUGCCUAACACAUGCAAGUCGAACGAGACCUUCGGGUCUAGUGGCGCACGGGUGCGUAACGCGUGGGAACCUGCCCUUAGGUUCGGAAUAACUCCCCGAAAGGGGUGCUAAUACCGGAUAAUGUCUUCGGACCAAAGAUUUAUCGCCUUUGGAUGGGCCCGCGUUGGAUUAGCUAGUUGGUAGGGUAAAAGCCUACCAAGGCGACGAUCCAUAGCUGGUCUGAGAGGAUGAUCAGCCACACUGGGACUGAGACACGGCCCAGACUCCUACGGGAGGCAGCAGUGGGGAAUAUUGGACAAUGGGCGAAAGCCUGAUCCAGCAAUGCCGCGCGAGUGAUGAAGGCCUUAGGGUUGUAAAGCUCUUUUACCCGGGAUGAUAAUGACAGUACCGGAAGAAUAAGCUCCGGCUAACUCCGUG
This 433-nucleotide ribosomal RNA is filed under the name uncultured bacterium. RNAcentral describes it as "partial 16S ribosomal RNA". It matches the Rfam family "Bacterial small subunit ribosomal RNA", at positions 29 to 507 of the family's 1533-position model. The record is from RNAcentral.